Molecule: ribosomal RNA, 494 nt
Filed under: uncultured bacterium
Lineage: Bacteria
Description: partial 16S ribosomal RNA
Rfam family: Bacterial small subunit ribosomal RNA
Source: RNAcentral
GAUGAACGCUAGCGGCAGGCUUAACACAUGCAAGUCGAGGGGUAUAGUUCUUCGGAACUAGAGACCGGCGCACGGGUGCGUAACGCGUAUGUAAUCUACCUUUUACAGGGGGAUAGCCCAGAGAAAUUUGGAUUAAUACCCCAUAGUAUGUUGUGGUGGCAUCACUAUAACGUUAAAGCUCCGGCGGUAUAAGAUGGGCAUGCGUCCAAUUAGCUAGUUGGUGAGGUAACGGCUCACCAAGGCUACGAUUGGUAGGGGUUCUGAGAGGAUGAUCCCCCACACUGGUACUGAGACACGGACCAGACUCCUACGGGAGGCAGCAGUGAGGAAUAUUGCGCAAUGGACGAAAGUCUGACGCAGCCAUGCCGCGUGCAGGAUGACGGCCCUAUGGGUUGUAAACUGCUUUUGUACGGGAAUAAACCCUUCUACGUGUAGGAGGCUGAAGGUACCGUAAGAAUAAGCACCGGCUAACUCCGUGCCAGCCGCCGCAGUAA